This 585-nucleotide ribosomal RNA is filed under the name uncultured bacterium. RNAcentral's name for it is "partial 16S ribosomal RNA". It matches the Rfam family "Bacterial small subunit ribosomal RNA", at positions 355 to 1375 of the family's 1533-position model. The record is from RNAcentral.
UGGGGAAUUUUGGACAAUGGGCGAAAGCCUGAUCCAGCAACGCCGCGUGUGUGAAGAAGGCCUUCGGGUUGUAAAGCACUUUUGUCCGGAAAGAAAUCCUUGGCUCUAAUACAGUCGGGGGAUGACGGUACCGGAAGAAUAAGCACCGGCUAACUACGUGCCAGCAGCCGCGGUAAUACGUAGGGUGCAAGCGUUAAUCGGAAUUACUGGGCGUAAAGCGUGCGCAGGCGGUUUGCUAAGACCGAUGUGAAAUCCCCGGGCUCAACCUGGGAACUGCAUUGGUGACUGGCAGGCUAGAGUAUGGCAGAGGGGGGUAGAAUUCCACGUGUAGCAGUGAAAUGCGUAGAGAUGUGGAGGAAUACCGAUGGCGAAGGCAGCCCCCUGGGCCAAUACUGACGCUCAUGCACGAAAGCGUGGGGAGCAAACAGGAUUAGAUACCCUGGUAGUCCACGCCCUAAACGAUGUCAACUAGUUGUUGGGGAUUCAUUUCCUUAGUAACGUAGCUAACGCGUGAAGUUGACCGCCUGGGGAGUACGGUCGCAAGAUUAAAACUCAAAGGAAUUGACGGGGUCAUAGCUGUUUCCU